This 926-nucleotide long non-coding RNA is filed under the name Androctonus crassicauda. The record is from RNAcentral. Lineage: Eukaryota; Metazoa; Arthropoda; Arachnida; Scorpiones; Buthidae.
UUAAAAUGUUAAUUGCGGAUGGAUGGAGAUUUGGCGAUCUGUAUGAAUAACCAUGAGACUCGCUGUAGAUCGACACAAAUUACAUCGACCAUUGUAUUGGUCUUCUUUAGUAAGCCAGCCUUUGAAUUUCUCAUCCUGCGUCCAUUCGUCCUUGUAAACACACCAUCGUUUUAUUUUCUUCGGCGGUGUACAUGAAUAGCUGCUGGUCAGCUCUUGUUCGUUGUCACUAUUUGAAUUACUGCUUUCCAUCUUGACUGAACGAGGGGAUAACAAAAAAUUGUGGAAAACAAAGUCACGCUCAAUACAACUAAACACGUCCGAACAUGCCAAACGCUUUGAAGAGGCUGACGUCAGCGUCAGACGGGUCUAAAUAGUAGUGGGGAGGUGGGAGGAAUGUACGUUGGAACGACGUUCAGCGGAUUUACACGAUGUUAAUUUGAAUAAAAAUAAAUGGAAUAUUUUUCUCAAAAUUUCCGGGACAAUUUAGCAUUCAUCCGGGAUACGGGACAGCGAUUCCAAUUCCGGGACAAUCCCGGCCAAUCCGGGACGGUUGGCAACCCUACUUACACCUACUUCUUGUUUUACUUUCUCCCAAAUGUUUUGCUUCUUCACGUUAUAUUUAUAAUCCAAUCUCUGCAUAUCAUAAAUUUCGGUAAUUUUGAAUGUUUAACAAAAAAUUUUUCGAUUCGCUUUUCGUUAAGCUGAUCCUCCGUCUUGGACUGCGCAAGGUAUUUAUGUCUAGCGACAGAGCUUCCAAGUAGAAGAAAUUUUAAUCUUAACGUUUGACGCUGCGCCACGCUGCGCUAAGUUUGACGUUGAUAGAAUUUUGACUAUAAAUCAUGAACGUUAACAUCGAACGUCCAACGACUGCUAGCGACCUUGAAACGGCACGCUGCAGUUGGACUAUAAAUCGACAUUAAUAAGUG